CGGAGCGUAGCGCAGCCCGGUAGCGCAUCUGGUUUGGGACCAGAGGGUCGGAGGUUCGAAUCCUCUCGCUCCGA
This 74-nucleotide transfer RNA is filed under the name Pseudomonadota bacterium. RNAcentral describes it as "tRNA-Pro". It matches the Rfam family "tRNA". Rfam says of the family: Transfer RNA (tRNA) molecules are approximately 80 nucleotides in length. Their secondary structure includes four short double-helical elements and three loops (D, anti-codon, and T loops). RNAcentral also lists the same sequence under 1 other name. Lineage: Bacteria; Pseudomonadati; Pseudomonadota. The record is from RNAcentral.